RNAcentral lists this ribosomal RNA (699 nucleotides) under Streptomyces sp. ET5s21.11. RNAcentral's name for it is "bacterial SSU rRNA". It matches the Rfam family "Bacterial small subunit ribosomal RNA", at positions 68 to 784 of the family's 1533-position model. The record is from RNAcentral. Lineage: Bacteria; Bacillati; Actinomycetota; Actinomycetes; Kitasatosporales; Streptomycetaceae.
GAUGAAGCCCUUCGGGGUGGAUUAGUGGCGAACGGGUGAGUAACACGUGGGCAAUCUGCCCUGCACUCUGGGACAAGCCCUGGAAACGGGGUCUAAUACCGGAUGACACUUUCUCUCGCAUGGGAGAAGGUUGAAAGCUCCGGCGGUGCAGGAUGAGCCCGCGGCCUAUCAGCUAGUUGGUGAGGUAGAAGCUCACCAAGGCGACGACGGGUAGCCGGCCUGAGAGGGCGACCGGCCACACUGGGACUGAGACACGGCCCAGACUCCUACGGGAGGCAGCAGUGGGGAAUAUUGCACAAUGGGCGAAAGCCUGAUGCAGCGACGCCGCGUGAGGGAUGACGGCCUUCGGGUUGUAAACCUCUUUCAGCAGGGAAGAAGCGAAAGUGACGGUACCUGCAGAAGAAGCGCCGGCUAACUACGUGCCAGCAGCCGCGGUAAUACGUAGGGCGCAAGCGUUGUCCGGAAUUAUUGGGCGUAAAGAGCUCGUAGGCGGCUUGUCACGUCGGUUGUGAAAGCCCGGGGCUUAACCCCGGGUCUGCAGUCGAUACGGGCAGGCUAGAGUGUGGUAGGGGAGAUCGGAAUUCCUGGUGUAGCGGUGAAAUGCGCAGAUAUCAGGAGGAACACCGGUGGCGAAGGCGGAUCUCUGGGCCAUUACUGACGCUGAGGAGCGAAAGCGUGGGGAGCGAACAGGAUUAGAUA